Molecule: transfer RNA, 70 nt
Filed under: Agrobacterium pusense
Lineage: Bacteria; Pseudomonadati; Pseudomonadota; Alphaproteobacteria; Hyphomicrobiales; Rhizobiaceae
Description: Rhizobium pusense tRNA-Met
Rfam family: tRNA
About the family: Transfer RNA (tRNA) molecules are approximately 80 nucleotides in length. Their secondary structure includes four short double-helical elements and three loops (D, anti-codon, and T loops).
Source: RNAcentral
GCAGGCAGGGCAAACGGUAAGCCGCGCGGCUCAUAACCGCGAAACAUCCGGUUCAAUUCCGGAGCCUGCA